Molecule: long non-coding RNA, 1731 nt
Filed under: Numida meleagris (helmeted guineafowl)
Lineage: Eukaryota; Metazoa; Chordata; Aves; Galliformes; Numididae
Description: lncRNA (ENSNMEG00000021516.1)
Source: RNAcentral
AGAACGCUUGCCAUGACAGCUAUAAAUUGUCCUAUCUUUUCAGGCGUACAAAAGAGUAAUGACAACUGUCUUGUAGACGUUUGCUUUUGUGUGAAGUCGGAUGUUGCCUUCAUUCCAGACACACCGCAUUCAUCUCCCCAGGGCUCCCCGUUUGUGCUUGGCAGGCAUGCCUUUCCAAGGCAACACAUUGCCAAGGUAGCAGAGUUUCUUCACCAGUGUCAGUACUGCAUUGUUGACUGCCUUUAUUUGCUUGCCACCAAGGCAUUUCUGUUUAAUGCUGGCAUUUGUCCUACCUAGGCAACUAGUAAUGAUCAGAAUAUUUUUGAGUAUGUAUACAACUGAGAAAUUAUUGCUAGAAAACAGCAGGUUGCAGGCCAGCAGCUCUGGGAUUUUUUGCUGUAGAGAACCUCAUGAGAAUGGCUAUAAUGAAUCAGACCUCAAACCAAACCAUAUCAGUUGGGGAUCUAAGCCAAUUCUUUUCACCUUUAGUUAUCACUUAUGUCCUUGAAUGACUAGGUCAAACUAGAAACAUACAUUUGUCAAGACAAAAACAUGAACUUUUGUUUCACAUCCUGCAGUGAUGAUAGGUGGAUCCAUUCAGUACGCCUUCAUAACUGGUUUGAAGAGAUACAGUACAACACAGGCAAUAUGAGAAAUGGCAUUUAUCUCCAAAUUCUAUCAAAUGACAAGGAAGACAUGUACAUAAGGGGGCCACAGAAACAGGUUGUUCUAGUCUAACUGCACAAUGUCUGUGGAGAGUCUAGAUGUGGACUGUGUAGCUCAGUGCAAGGUACAUUAACUCUGUUCUUUACUUGCGUGAUCACAGUGUAACCGUACUAUGUAUGUGUGCAUAUCUCUUUGUAUUUUUACUAGAAAGAAAAUUUAAUGAAUGCCAUCAUCUUCUUUGUAGGCAGGAUCCUCAUGAUUUUCUCAGAUGUCUUCUUCAGUCCUGAAGAUUUUAUUUGUUCACUCAGCUGGAUUGCUCCUAGCAGUGCAACAUUGGAAAUUCGAGCUGUGCCAUACUGUAUAGAAAAAACAGGUCAGCGUGAAACCAGUUCCAAGCCCAACCUCACACAAGGCAACCAGACAAGGCUGAAGUGCUGCCACGUACUGCAGACAGCCAGAAGACUUUGCAGAGCCAAAGGAAAGCCCUAUUUACAGGCUAGAGAACAGUGGAGCAGAAAAAAGGAGUUAGCAAAAAGGCAUUUGAGAAUUUAUUUCAAAUGCAUGUUCAGUUAUUAUCCUUCCAUCAAAGGAUCUCAAAAUGCCUUUAAACUGCUGGCAACUGCCCCAGAAGUUACCUUUGCUGUAGGCAUUAUUAAGCCCUUGAAAAGCCAAGAUGUAAGCGGUGGGUGACUUUUCACUCAAGGUUAUUCUGCAAGUCAGGAGCAGAGACAGACAGACUGUUCUAUACGUGCUACGUGCUUUGGAGAAGCAUUUGGCUGCUGCAGUAGUGCAUGUGGGAGGAGAGAGAGGAAGGACAUCUGUGAACUUCAUCACAAGAAAGGUUCCCAGCAUCAUGGGACUCCAGGCAAUGCAAAACAAUUUCCUAAUCCUGCACAAAAAUACUGAAUCACAAAGUUAUCUUUCAUUAACGUAAUGUUAUUCCCUUUCAUGUGUUCACCCCUUGUACCAUUCAUUCUGAUUUGUCUGAGUUUAGAUACAAUUUUUUAAUUGACUUUUUUCUCUUGUAUUUGUCUUCCAAAUGUGACUGAGCAUGUCUGUGCCGUG